UGGGGAAUCUUGGACAAUGGGCGCAAGCCUGAUCCAGCCAUGCCGCGUGAGUGAAGAAGGCCCUUCGGGUUGUAAAGCUCUUUUACCAGGGACGAUAAUGACGGUACCUGGAGAAUAAGCCCCGGCAAACUUCGUGCCAGCAGCCGCGGUAAUACGAAGGGGGCUAGCGUUGUUCGGAAUUACUGGGCGUAAAGCGCACGUAGGCGGAUUGUUAAGUCAGAGGUGAAAUCCCGGAGCUCAACUUCGGAACUGCCUUUGAUACUGGCAAUCUAGAGUCCGGAAGAGGUUAGUGGAAUUCCCAGUGUAGAGGUGAAAUUCGUAGAUAUUGGGAAGAACACCAGUGGCGAAGGCGGCUAACUGGUCCGGUACUGACGCUGAGGUGCGAAAGCGUGGGGAGCAAACAGGAUUAGAUACCCCCGUAGUCCCUGAGCGGGC
This 435-nucleotide ribosomal RNA is filed under the name uncultured bacterium. RNAcentral describes it as "bacterial SSU rRNA". It matches the Rfam family "Bacterial small subunit ribosomal RNA", at positions 355 to 804 of the family's 1533-position model. The record is from RNAcentral.